CCAGCACCCCGAGUGGUCGGGACGAUUAUUGGGCCUAAAGCAUCCGUAGCCGGUACUGCAAGUCUUCCGUUAAAUCCACCUGCUUAACAGUUGGGCUGCGGGGGAUACUACAGCGCUAGGAGGCGGGAGAGGCAAGCGGUACUCAAUGGGUAGGGGUAAAAUCCGCUGAUCCAUUGAAGACCACCAGUGGCGAAGGCGGCUUGCCAGAACGCGCUCGACGGUGAGGGAUGAAAGCUGGGGGAGCAAACCGGAUUAGAUACCCGGGUAGUCCCAGCUGUAAACGAUGCAGACUCGGUGAUGGGCUGGCCUUGUGCCAGCCCAGUGCCGCAGGGAAGCCGUUAAGUCUGCCGCCUGGGGAGUACGGUCGCAAGACUG
Molecule: ribosomal RNA, 375 nt
Filed under: uncultured organism
Description: bacterial SSU rRNA
Rfam family: Archaeal small subunit ribosomal RNA
Source: RNAcentral